GACGAACGCUGGCGGCGUGCUUAACACAUGCAAGUCGAACGGAAAGGCCCUGCUUUUGUGGUGUGCUCGAGUGGCGAACGGGUGAGUAACACGUGAGUAACCUGCCCUUGACUUUGGGAUAACUUCAGGAAACUGGGGCUACUACCGGAUAGCAGCUCCUGUUGCAUGGUGGGGGUUGGAACGUUUCGGCGGUCGGGGGUGGACUCGCGGCUUAUCAGCUUGCUGGUGGGGUAGUGGCUUACCAAGGCUUUGACGGGUCGCCGGCCUGAGAGGGUGACCGGCGACCUUGGGACUGAGGUACGGCCCAGACUCCUACGGGAGGCAGCAGUGGGGAAUAUUGCACCAGGGGCGGAAGCCUGGUGCAGCAACGCCGCGUGCGGGAUGGCGGCCUGCGGGUUGUAAACCGCUUUCGCCUGUGACGAAGCGUGAGUGACGGUAAUGGGUAAAGAAGCACCGGCUAACUACGUG
This 468-nucleotide ribosomal RNA is filed under the name uncultured bacterium. Its description in RNAcentral is "partial 16S ribosomal RNA". It matches the Rfam family "Bacterial small subunit ribosomal RNA", at positions 28 to 507 of the family's 1533-position model. The record is from RNAcentral.